AAGGAGCUUUGCUUGCGGACUCACAAGUUAAUAUUGGCCGUUUGAUAAGUUAUGUUUUGUCCAUUUUGUGGUGGGAACCUUCAUGUUGUUCUGUCCUAUUGUGGCUCAUGCAGCAGAAAUAUUCAGUUUUUAAGGACUCAUCAAGAUGACGAUCCUCAAGCCACAACUGCAGAUGAUCUCAUCGUGAAGUAUUUCACGGAGGGCCACAGUUAUGAAGUAAUAAGAGACUUCCUUGCUGCCAAACACAAUAUUUCAAUGAGUCUUAGCACUUUAAAAAGAAAAUUACAAAGGGCAGGCCUGACCAGGAGGACAAAUUACACACCAAUUGCUACUGUGCAUGCAGCUAUUUCUGAAGAACUUAAGGGAUCAGGCCAACUGCUGGGUUAUCGAGCAAUGUGGCAGACCCUCAAACAGAAGUAUUCUUUUAUCGUCAGAAGAAGGGAUGUGAUGCAACUAAUGAGAGAAUUGGAUCCGUCUGCAGUAGAAAACAGGUCUAGACGAAGAUUUGUCCGCAGAGCAUAUCAUUAAGUGGGACCCAAUGAAAUUUGGCAUGUUGAUGGGUAUGACAAAUUAAAACCCUAUGGCAUUGCAAUAAGUGGCUGCAUUGAUAGGUUCUCCAGAAAAAUACUGUGGCUCAAAUGUGGAAAGUCCAACAAUGAUCCUAGGAUUAUUGCUCAGCAUUAUAUGUCGUGCAUUUCUGAGUUUGGAGUUUUUCCAAUGCGCCUUUGGACAGACUGCGGAACAGAAAAUGGACUGAUGGCGGCAUUUUACAGUUCCUUGAGAUCAGUGCACACAGAUGAAUUUGCAGGAGCCAAAAGCCACAUGUAUGG
Long non-coding RNA from Fundulus heteroclitus (mummichog), 830 nucleotides. RefSeq lists it as uncharacterized. The transcript is spliced from 3 exons. The record is from RefSeq and is a predicted model, not a curated record. Lineage: Eukaryota; Metazoa; Chordata; Actinopteri; Cyprinodontiformes; Fundulidae.